GGCCGGCCUAGUAUUUUAUAGUGUGGGCCUUUUUGGCGGUGGCUUUUUCUGUCUUUUCUUUGGUCUUUGCUGCCUCUCGGCCUACGUGGCCGAGUUUCCCCGAUGUACCGCCUCUCUCUUCUCUCGCCGGCUGUCGUUCUUUAGCCCUUUAUGCUAUUUUGCACAGAAGCCUCCUUUGGGGCGGUGUCCUCUGGUUUUUUCUCUCUCUCUCUCUCUCUCUCAGGGAUGCGUGCCGGCAAACAGUGGCCGGCCCGGCUUAAUGUAUGGGCCUUGUCGCCUGUGGCUUUUUUCUUUCUUUUCUUUUCUUUUCUUUUCUUUUUGCUGCCUCUCGGCCUACGUGGUCGGGUUUCCCACGAUGCACCGCCUCUCUCUUCUCUCUCGGCUGUCGUUCUUUACCCCUUUAUGCGAGUUUGCACCGAAGCCUCCUUUGGGGCGACGGCCCCUCUUUCUUCCUGUCUGGGAAUCGUGCGGGCCAACGGUGGCCGGCCUAGUAUUUUAUAGUGUGGGCCUUUUUGGCGGUGGCUUUUUCUGUCUUUUCUUUGGUCUUUGCUGCCUCUCGGCCUACGUGGCCGAGUUUCCCCGAUGUACCGCCUCUCUCUUCUCUCGCCGGCUGUCGUUCUUUAGCCCUUUAUGCUAUUUUGCACAGAAGCCUCCUUUGGGGCGGUGUCCUCUGGUUUUUUCUCUCUCUCUCUCUCUCUCUCAGGGAUGCGUGCCGGCAAACAGUGGCCGGCCCGGCUUAAUGUAUGGGCCUUGUCGCCUGUGGCUUUUUUCUUUCUUUUCUUAUCUUUUCUUUUCUUUUUGCUGCCUCUCGGCCUACGUGGUCGGGUUUCCCACGAUGCACCGCCUCUCUCUUCUCUCGCCGGCUGUCGUUCUUUACCCCUUUAUGCGAUUUUGCACAGAAGCCUCCUUUGGGGCGGCGGCCCCUCUUUCUUCCUCACAGGGAAGCGUGCCGGCCAACGGUGGCACGCCUAGUAUUUCAACGUGUGGGCCUUGUCGGCCUAUGUGGUCGACGUGUUUCCCACGAUGCACCGCCUCUGUCUUCUCUCGCGGCUGUCGUUCUUUACCCCUUGGUGCAAUCUUGCACAGAACCCUUUUGACAGAUGGAAGGGCUAUCUGAGCCUUGCGAAAGUGGUUACGGAGAUCAUCGCGGAACGCAAGAAGGUCCCAUUUCCAUCUCAGAGUUUGGACACAAUGGAGUACGACAUGCAGCUAGUCCUCAACGAGGACAACUUUGAAACAGCAUCACAAUGGGUUAAUGGAAGCAGUUCCAGCAGCAAGAGCUCCAAAGGUAGUGCCAAUGGCCAGGCUUCCCAAAACAAGGAGAUUUGCAAUUUCUGCAAACACAACGGGGAAUCCAAGCAGGUCUAUUCGUCCCACCGGCUGAAGGGGAUGGACGGCACCGUGGAGUGCCCCAUCUUGCGCAAAUACACCUGUCCGCUCUGCGGUGCCACGGGCGAAAAGGCCCAUACUUUAAAAUACUGCCCACUGAGCCAAGGGAAGAGGUCGCUGUAUCGCAAGUGCGGACGUAACUCGGCUGGACGCAAGGUGAGGAGAUAAGAAGAUCAGGAGAAGACCGAAGCAUUUAUUCUUAGUUUUAGUUUGACUUUGUAAAAGAACAACAUUUGAUUUCGAGCAUCAUUAACACUCUUUACAUUUCCUCCCACUUUGUUUCAGGUUUGGAGAAUGGAAGCCCAAUUCUCUUAGACUACAUUUAUGUGUCAGUUGCCUAGUGUGAUGAUUCAUGGGCCCUGCAGUCCUAUUCCUGACAGUAUUGUGGCAGAUGAGGAGGAAAAUAUGGAGUUUUCCCCAGAUUUCCGGUCGGAGUCAGAGCCUUGGCAGCUGCCUGAAGUUCUAGUCCAAGAACCAAUUAAACCUGACCUUGGUGGGAACUCUCCCCCUUAUGGGAGAAAACAGGCUUACACGACUGAUAGAGGAUCGAGAGAAAAAUUUAGAAGGAGUGCUCGCCUUGCUGCCAAAUAUGCCACUGAUUAGAAGUAUUUCCCCUGAGAAAAUACGGGGAGUCUUGCACCUGCAAGCUGGUUUCCUUCGCUCCCUGUUCUCUAGGGAAAGUGAUUGUUGUUUGGGGAAACGAGACCCAAUAUAGGGAAAUUGCGCGAAGGAUUCCUUGCGGAGUCAAUUCGUCAGCUCCUGGAGAGAGGUCAUGUGUGUGUGGACUUCGAAUCCUGUUCCUUGCCUCCUGAAUCUAGUUCCAAGCCUUGUCCUCGUCUCACGGAUUUACCACAGAUCUUGUUCCAUGCUUCAAGUUGCUUUGCCUUUAGCCACAGCUCCAGCCACGUUCCAAGUAACUUUCAGCCUUGUGUCAAGCUUCAUUGGAUUCAAGACUUUUUCUGUUUUCCCAACGCUUUGCUUGGCAAAGCGUGUGUUGCGGUUAUUGGAUUAUAAUCUUUGGACUCUAAUAUUUCAUAUUGGACAAUAAUCUGCUGGACUAUAUUUGGCCUCAUUUGAAAGGUCUGCUUCUGAACUUUAUUCUACACUUGUUUUUAUUGACUUUAUAUAUUCCUUUAAUAAAGAUAUUAGAUAGAAUCUGGCCUCAGUGUAUGGUUAUUGGUGCCCAGCAGCCUAUAUCCUGACACCUUGUAUCAUGCUUUUUUAUACAUAUAAUCAUGUUUUUUACAUAUGUAAUAUCACGUUCCUUUGACAUCUGUAAUUGCCUUAUAUCAUAUUUUAUAUUGUGUUUUAUAUAUGCAGUUACUUUACAUGUUUCUUUUAUGUAUGGAUGUAUAAUUUUUACAUGUUUAAUUAUAUUAUUUGCAACUAUAAUUGCCUAAUAUCAUGCUUCUUUUAUAUAUGCAAUGACAUCAUGUUUAUUUAACGUAUAUAAGUGCCUUAUAUCAUGUCCGGGUUAUCAUGUGUGUCUCCAGAGGGAUGCAGCCCUAUCCUUUGCAGGGAAAAUAUAGAAAUAUCUUCUAAAUGGCUACUGUCUAGAAUUUUGUUUUGUAAAGAAAGGAAAAGUUUAUAUGCUAUUGGAAAGAAAGAUACUAUUUUAUGUUUAAAUUUUGGAAAGGAAUAGAAUUGGUUAUUAUUACUGUGGUCUAACCUUCAAUUGUUUGCAAGUUGUUCUAAAGUUUGGAUCGUAGAGUUUAAUAAACAGAGUUUAUGGUUUUGGCAUCAAAACUGUUCAUGUUGUGCUUAAAUGGGAUUGAAUUUUCUUUAAUUUGUGGCCCAUAAUAGGCUGGUUAUAAGCCUGAUCUGGAAGGCAGCCAAGGCAAAGACCAUUGAGCUGCUGAACUUGCAGACUGAAAGGUCCCAGGUUCAAAUCCCGGGAGCAGAGUGAGCGCCCGCUGUUAGCUCCAGCUUCUGCCAACCUAGCAGCUUGAAAACAUGCCAAUGUGAGUAGAUGAAUAGGUACCGCUGUGGCGGGAAGGUAAUGGCACUCCAUGUAGUCAUGCCGACCACAUGACCUUGGAGGUGUCUAUGGACAACACUGGCUCUUGGGGUUAGAAAUGGAGGUGAGCACAACCCCCAGAGUCAGACAUGACUGAACUUAACGUCAAGGGAUACCUUUACACACACACACAUGCAGGGACUACACCAAUUUAACAAAGUUUCAGCCACAAAAACAAAGUUUCUAAAGUAGAGCAAUGACUUUCACAGUAAAGACAACCCAAUUUAACAGGAAAUAAGACUUUCAAACCAGGAACAGAUUUCUGCAAUUAUUAAAAAAUGGUUCAUUAUAAAAGCUAUGAAAAUUUGCCAAAAAUCAGAGGAUAAGGGAAACGUUCCACAUUUUGGUGAGCUAUCAGUGUUAAAUGUGUUCUACCACUGUACCAAGUUUGAAGAAGAUCACUCAAAAAAUGAGGGCGGGAGAGCCCCCUAAGUCCCCCCCCUUCGGGCUGUUUUUGGGCCACCGCGCAUGCGCGUCCGCCAUUAACGAAUUAAUUUAGAAAAUAACGAAUUUUCGUUAAUUUCGAAAAAUUUUGGGGGCCAAAUUCGUUAUUAGCAACAAAAACGAAAAACUGCCCCCUCUAGUUUUGAAACGAGUUUAGAAUCAAAUUUUUCAUGGAUCGAUCAAGCCUAU
This is an RNA transcript of Anolis carolinensis (green anole), 4039 nucleotides long. It is a transcript of the gene named nanos homolog 2-like, with no coding region annotated. Lineage: Eukaryota; Metazoa; Chordata; Lepidosauria; Squamata; Anolidae. The transcript is spliced from 2 exons. The record is from RefSeq and is a predicted model, not a curated record.